Taeniopygia guttata (zebra finch) is the source of this 1633-nucleotide long non-coding RNA. The record is from Ensembl. Lineage: Eukaryota; Metazoa; Chordata; Aves; Passeriformes; Estrildidae.
AUGGGGUGGGAUUGGAUCCAUGGAAUGGGAUGGGAUCAAUGGGAUUGGAAGGGAUCCAUGGUGUGGGAAGGCACCAUGGGAUGGGAUCCACAGAAUGGGAUGGGUUCAAUGGGAUGGGAUUGGGAUGGAAUGGGAGAGAUGGAUGGGAUGGGAUCCGUGGGAUCAAGGGAAUCCAUGGGAUCAAUGGGAUGGGAUAAUGGGAUGGGAUCCAUGGGAUCCAUGGGAUGGGACAGUUCCCUUCCUUCCAUGUGUCCCAGUGAUGGAUUUGUCCCAUUUUCCACCCCAGCCAUGCAGGAGCUGCCGGGUCCUGCCACGCCCACUCAGGAGGAUCCAGCAGCUCCUCCAGCCCCACCCCGCCCGGAGAACCCCCGAGCUCUCCCGUCCUGGCUCUGUCCGGAGCAUCCCGCAGCUUUCCCAGCCCGGAGGCACCAGGAGGCUCCAGGAGCUCUCCCAUCCCAGCCCCACCAGGAGGCUCCAGGAGCUCUCCCGUCCCAGCCCCACCAGGAUUCCCAAACUCUCCAAUCCCACCCGUGCCAGGAGCAUCCCGGCUGUGGGAUCGCCCUGCGCAGCCUCCAGGCCCGGCUGGAGGAACUGGAAAACCAGGUGGGGGCUGAGGGUAUCACCUGGGGGGGCACCUGGGGCACGGCCACUCCAGGGUGGCACUUGGAGCCCGUCCCAUUCCCGCCAGGUGGCGGACGCUGGAGCUGGAGCGGGCACGGCAGGAACUGGUCCUGCAGCACCUCCCAGAGAGCGGCCACAGAUCCUUGGAUCACCCCACAUCCCAUGAUCACCCCAGACCCCAGGAUCACCCCAGACCCCGGGAUCACCCCGGAACCCAGGAGCAGCACGAGCAGCUCACAGGUAAAUUCCCUCCAAGUGCAUCGUUCCAGUGGGACCCUCUGCUUGUUCCCAACGGCUCGGAGCCGAUCCCACAGAAUCCAGGCGGUCCCGGGACAAGUCCUGGUGUCCUGGAGGAUUCCUGGGCCUGUAGAUCCCUGUCCCAGCCCUCCUGGGGGGAUUCCUGGCCAGAGGCUCUGCUGCUCCAGUGCCCAGCGGCGCUCGAACAGGGCUGCUCCAGUGCCCAGCGGCGCUCGAACAGGGGCUGCUCCAGUGCCCAGCGGCACUCGAACAGGGGCUGCUCCAGCGCCCAUUGGCGCUCGAACAGGGGCUGCUCCAGCGCCCAUUGGCGCUCGAACAGGGACUGGCUCCAGUGCCCAGUGCUGCUCGAACAGGGGCUGCUCCAGCGCCCAUUGGCGCUCGAACAGGGACUGGCUCCAGUGCCCAGCGGCACUCGAACAGGGGCUGCUCCAGUGCCCAGCGGCGCUCGAACAGGGGCUGCUCCAGUGCCCAGAGGCGCUCGAACAGGGGCUGGCUCCGUCCGGGAUCCCACCGGAUCCUCAGGAAAGGGGAAGAGUUCCACGGGAUAUUCACUGGAAUCACGAGGAAUUGCAUGAAAUUCACUGAAUUUUCCGAUUCACAGAAUUUGCAGAAGUUCACAGAGUUCACAGAACUCAUGGAAUUCACGGAAUGCACAGAAUCCAUGGAAUUCUCAGAAGUCACGGAAUUCAUGAAAUUCACGGAAUUCUCCAAAUUCACAGAAUUCACAGAAUUUGCAGGAUUCACAGAAUUCUUC